RNAcentral lists this ribosomal RNA (465 nucleotides) under uncultured bacterium. Its description in RNAcentral is "partial 16S ribosomal RNA". It matches the Rfam family "Bacterial small subunit ribosomal RNA", at positions 28 to 507 of the family's 1533-position model. The record is from RNAcentral.
GACGAACGCUGGCGGCGUGCUUAACACAUGCAAGUCGUACGGGAAGGCCCUUUCGGGGGUACACGAGUGGCGAACGGGUGAGUAACACGUGAGUAACCUGCCCACAACUUUGGGAUAACGCUAGGAAACUGGUGCUAAUACUGGAUAUGUGCCCCUGCUGCAUGGUGGGGGUUGGAAAGCUCCGGCGGUUGUGGAUGGACUCGCGGCCUAUCAGCUUGUUGGUGGGGUAGUGGCCUACCAAGGCGGCGACGGGUAGCCGGCCUGAGAGGGUGACCGGCCACAUUGGGACUGAGAUACGGACCAGACUCCUACGGGAGGCAGAAGUGGGGAAUAUUGCACAAUGGGCGCAAGCCUGAUGCAGCAACGCCGCGUGCGGGAUGACGGCCUUCGGGUUGUAAACCGCUUUCAGCAGGGACGAAGCUUUUUGUGACGGUACCUGCAGAAGAAGCACCGGCUAACUACGUG